AAUUUACUGGACUGUGCGAUGUAAGUACUUAAACUGAAUUUUGGCCUACGUUAAAUUUAAUGGGAACUGGCUCUGUAUCGGUAGCUCAGAUCAGUCACGAUAGCAAACUAUUGUUAUACGGACCCUGUAUGCCUUUAUAUUCUGGAACCCCCUUGUGAAAACAAGGACCAAAAUUCCGUACUACAUACGGCAGUCCGGUUUUAGU
RNAcentral lists this non-coding RNA (205 nucleotides) under Fusobacteriota bacterium. Its description in RNAcentral is "Fusobacteria bacterium (anaerobic digester metagenome) 6S RNA". It matches the Rfam family "6S / SsrS RNA". Rfam says of the family: E. coli 6S RNA was the first non coding RNA to be sequenced, but its function was unknown until recently. It consists of 184 nucleotides that fold into an extended hairpin structure with a large single-stranded internal bulge. Lineage: Bacteria; Fusobacteriati; Fusobacteriota. The record is from RNAcentral.